Molecule: long non-coding RNA, 442 nt
Filed under: Pan troglodytes (chimpanzee)
Lineage: Eukaryota; Metazoa; Chordata; Mammalia; Primates; Hominidae
Description: long non-coding RNA NONPTRT001902
Source: RNAcentral
CUGUGCUAUCUGCUUAAGAUGGGAGUGGCCUGGGUCUCCAAAAGCAUUGGAAAAGUGCAAUUUAGAAGCCGCUUUCUUUGAAGGUCAUUUUUUGAAAGUGCUGUUCGACAGAAUGGGAAGAAUUCUUGAUCAGCCAUAUGAUGUAAACUUACAAGUAACCUCAGUGUUAUCUAGACUUUCUCUCUUCCCUCAUCCACACAUCCACGAGUACCUUUUGGAUCCUUACGUGAACCUCGCUCCUGGCUGUAGAUCUCUCUUCUCUGUAAUUGUCAGGGUUGUUGGAGACCUUAUGCUUCGAAUCCAGCGUAUUCAAGACUUUACUCCCAAGCUUCUGUUAGUCAGAAAGCGGUUACUUGGUUUGGAACCUGAAGGCCCUAUCUGAAUAUUUCUGUUACUCAGUACUUGCAAAAACAGUGACUAAAAUGCACUAUGCUGAGUGGAA